UACGGGGGGGGCAAGCGUUGUUCGGAAUUACUGGGCGUAAAGGGCUCGUAGGUGGCCAACUAAGUCGGACGUGAAAUCCCUCGGCUUAACCGGGGAACUGCGUCUGAUACUGGAUGGCUUGAGUUCGGGAGAGGGAUGCGGAAUUCCAGGUGUAGCGGUGAAAUGCGUAGAUAUCUGGAGGAACACCGGUGGCGAAAGCGGCUCACUGGAUCGAUACUGACGCUGAGGUGCGAAAGCUAGGGUAGCAAACGGG
This 253-nucleotide ribosomal RNA is filed under the name uncultured bacterium. Its description in RNAcentral is "partial 16S ribosomal RNA". It matches the Rfam family "Bacterial small subunit ribosomal RNA", at positions 524 to 776 of the family's 1533-position model. The record is from RNAcentral.